UUCCGAUUGGGAUAUAUGAGUACCGAUUUACUAAAGCUUAAGCUUUCCUUCUGCCAGUGAUACCUUGGUAGUGAGCGGGCAGCAGCGGCAGCUUCUGAAUCCAGUUACCCUCAGGGCCAUCGAACAAGCUUAAAAAUUGAAAAUGGUGGACGUCCGUGCUGUGAUUGAAUCAUUUUUUGUCAUGCUGAAAGAGAACAUCUAUGUCUUGAUCCGCAUUGAGUCCUUGGUGGCACUGGUGACAUUGAUAUUCCUUGCAAUGUUCAUCAUAGACUUCUACCGCUGCCGAACUCGUAGCUCAAUCUUGACCACCAUUCUUGAAAGCAUCGACGAAUUAUCUGAUCAGAUAGUAGUGUACCUCAUUGGAGCCAUGCAAUCCGCGAGGUUUGAGAAUGAGCUGUUCCCGGUCUGGGCCAUCGUGCUGGUGAGUCUCCGUACCAGCCUCGGCUAUCUCUCUGGGUAUGGCAUCUCAGACCGUGAUCGACAAUUCAUGGAGCUGGCAAAUGUGAUCAAGUUCAUAGGGGCAGGGGUCUUGGCUGGCACUCGUGGCUUGAAGUAUGCAAGGCCACUCUGGUCAUUUUGGGCCAUCCUGCAACUGAAGAGCAUGUACCGGUUCUUCGCACAUGGCAUGGCAAACGAAUCCUUGUGGCAUGGCCGGAGCUCAGAGUUUAUUCCUGAGUACAUGCGCACCUUCAUUCCUGAGGACCAGGAGACAGGCGUCAAUCAUGAUGAUAGAAACACAUCAACUAUGAUGCCAGGCAAAAAAUAUCUGAUCUGCGGAGAGUCCAACAAAGACAUCACCUUAAAGAAGCCUCAAUACACUAUAAAUAUCAGCAACAGCAGCGCUCAGUCACUGGUCACACUGGGCAAGAUUCAGGAGUACAAUUGGAAGGGGAUGAACAACAGAGAUGGAGACAGUAAGUUUAAAGACUUGAGCAUGGCCUUCUCACUGUCAAGGCUGCUUCGGUGCAGGCUUGAAGAUGUGACACUGAACAAAGAUAGCAUUAACGACAUGCAGCAUCUAAUCAUCUCGGAGUUCAUUCCUGACAGCCGAGGACAACGGCAGGAGGAGAAGGUGGACGGGCACCAGGCUGUCGAGGCUGAGCGGACAUUCAGGAUCCUUGAGUUGGAGCUUGCAUUUGUCAGAGACUACUUCUACACCCUCUACCCAUUGGUCUUCUGGGAAGGGCUUGGUUCUCUCUGUUUGAGUCUGCUCCUGUCCGCUGCAACUUUCGCCAUUGCCUUCUGGCUGGCCGUAGGAAUCCGCAAGGUCUAUCAACCCCCAGAGGGCAAUCUUGUGCUCUGGGUGGAUGGAUGUAAUUUUGACAUCAUCAUGACAUGGGUGUUCAUGUUCUGUGUGAUGUUCAAGGAGAUCUGGGAAAUAGUCACAUACCUGGUAUCAAACUGGACAAGAUUACUUGUCCUGUGCAAGUAUGUGCAGGACCAGGCUUGGUUUGUGAGUGAACGACUCACGAAGCAUCUAGUAAGGUCAUUUUUCGAGUCAAAAAUUGGCGAACCAUGGCAUGGACGUAUCGAUCAGUAUGACUUCUUGCAGCAAAUUACUUACAAGCCAACAUUAUGGAAACUGGCAAAUGUCAUCACCCUGGGAAAGAUUAAAGGCAAAUUGGAUGGGAAAAAAACUGGUGAAGCCAUCAAGAUCCCUCAAUGUGUAAAGCUAGCAAUCCUACAGGCAAUCCGCCGCAUCGGCCUCACCAGUAGACCGUUACCGAGAGAAAUCCCAUCACUGAGAAGCUACGUACAUGCUCUCAAGUCAUUCUAGUGUGGCACAUCGCAACCAGCCUCUGCGAGAUCAAGCUUGCGCAUGACAAGAAAAUUGACUUAACCAAACCUGGGUUCUUGUGUUCUGCCUGGUCGUACAUGAAAAAAAAGCUCUGCUGCUUCUCUUCCUACCCAUACCUUAUAGGCGAGAACAGUGGCCUGUCUGCUGGGCUCAAAACAAACUACCAUAUCGCGAUCAGCUUGUCACGGUAUUGCGCUUAUCUACAGGUUUUUCGUUCUGAACUGUUACCAGAUAGUUUUCUUGUCCCUGAAGUGCUAUUUGUGGAAACCUUAAAGCAUGCCCGCGAACAACUCAAGGAUUGUAACCUGAAAUGGUGUAGAUAUAACAAACUCAUGGGAAUUGCACUGCAAGCAACACCAAGCAGUGUAGAUGAGAAAUUGAAAAUGAACAUACUGCAGCAAGGUGUUACUCUAGCCAAGGACCUGAUCGGAAUGAAGGAUGAUGAAGCCUGUUGGAAGAUCCUAGCUGAGGUUUGGGCUGAUUUACUUGUGCACAUCGCCCCAAGCUGGAAUGCAUCAGAUCAUAAGAAUAAUCUCGAGUCUGGAGGCGAGUUCAUUACUCUAAUCUGGGCAUUGCUUUGGCACUGUGGCAUCGAAAAGAGCAGCCUGUGGCACAAGGAUGAAGCAUUUGAAAACAAUUCUCAAGUACCUCAAGAAAGCAGUACUGAAACCAGAAAUGUUAUACCUAUGGAUGAGCCAGCUAAUGAGGAUGGAAUCGAGAGUUCAGAAGAGCUCAAGACAAGAAGCUUUAGGAGGGGAAAGGAGAGCAGAAAUGGUCCAAAAGAUACAGCAAAGCAAUCACAUGGUGAGAAUGAAGAAAAGAAUGGCAUAUCUUCCAGCAGCUUCAGGAGUUAAUGUGCCACAAAUACUAUGGUGAGCGUGUAAAACCAAGUGUGGUUUUGGUUUAUUUGUGAUGGAAAAUUGGCAACGAAAUAUAUAACCAUGAGUUGGUUUUGAGUGAGAAAUUUGCUUUGGAUUGUUGGCGAUUUUAGGCAUCAGUGCUUAUGACUAAUGUGGGUCAGGUUGCGAUAUCUGUGCCCAGAAUCGGAUGUUUGGUUUACGUGUGUGCAGGUGAUCGAAGUCAACCUCGGUCAAUGGCGAGGACCGGGACUAUGCUCAGGGAGGAGCAUAGGUCCGGCACGGUCAAGAGGCCAUGUGACAAGGUGGGACUGACGUCAUGAUCCCUGAUGGUCAACCUAGGUCGACGGCGGAUCGGGACUAGACUGAGGGGGAGUUGAGGUCCAGAAUGAUCGACGAAGCUGUGUGACAAGGUUAAGAUCAAGGUGACACAUGGUGGACGAACACCGUGUCGGGAAGACUUUGCGACGGGCUUCGCAAGGUCAAGUGCAAGUGCCGGGAUUCGCGAAGAAAGCCGACGGAUGAAAGGAGCAAGCAGUGCUACAGUACACGUGGUACUGUAGCAUGCAGCCAAUGAGAAAAGUGCACGUGCAUGCACUUGGUUGGAAGACUUGGUCAAGCAAGCUAGCAUGCAAGCUGUGCAUGUGUGUGCAUUGGUUUGAGCAGUGCAUGCAUGGACAAGGUGAUGUGCAUGUGUGUUGUGAUUGGUUGGUAGGGAGGCCACCAAUCCAUCGUGAUCAUGGGCUCGGCCAGGAUGCCACACGGCUGGACCGGACUGGCCCAGUCCAAGAUGGAGCAGAGGCCAGCAUGAUCCAAGCAACGACGGCCCAGCUCGGCAAGCAAGGGCGUCAAGGCAGGAGGUCUCGGCGACGACGCGCGCGUGAGGGACACGCGGCAGGCGCGGACUCGACUGCGCGCUCUCGCGCGGGAGAUCGACUACAUGCGGGACCCAUGCCAAAUUCAGAUGGCGUGCGCGGGAGGAGAAGGUGCGCGGGAGCGGCUGGGCGACGUGGCAGCAUCGGUUUCGCGCGCGGGCGUGGGACCCAAGCGACUCCGCGCGCGCGCGGGAGAUGGCGCUCUCCCUCGCUGUCAAGUGGGCCCGGCCGGGAGCACGAGCUCGCGUGAGGGACGCGCGUGCGGCACGGCUGGCGACGUGGCGUGCAUGGAUUGGUUUGGAUUGGGAUCACACGGAUCGGGAGUGCGAGGAGUUUUUGGAUUGACUAGGUGGCAGCGAUCUGGAGCUUCCUUUGAGUAGAAGGAACAAUGGAUGGAACAGAUCUGUUCUGAGUUAGGUUUUCGCCCUAGGGGUAUUUGAGACAAUGUCUUAGGGGUCUUAGGCUAUAAAUAGAGAGAUGGAUGCAAGGGUGGAGGUUGCUCCUUUCGUAAUCCUUUUGAGAUGCUCGGUGAGAGAGUUAUGGUGUGAGUUUGGAGUGUGUUUGCCUGAGAGGCUUUUGUAUUAGGAUUAGUUUGGAGUGUGUUUGUCCGAGAGAUUUUAAGUCUGUGUUAAUGUUCCUCUGAAGAAUUUACAAGAGCAAGCUGGAUCUAGUUCAACUACUGCCUUCCCGUGCCUGGAAACUGGAAAGAUUUUUUCAAAAGAAAUACACAGAAGCUAUUUGAAUAAAGUUAGUCCUUUUGGGGGGGCUCUUUGAAUAAGUCAAGUACACAGAUGUAUCCUUGAAACUUUGAAAGCCUCUUGGUUGGUCCCUACUUGCCGUUUACAUGUUUGUGGUCUUUUUAUGUUGUCAUGAUUUUCACACUCAAUUGGAGAAGUCCUCUAUUUUCCCUUCGUUUAUUGUGAUGUAUUUGAAUACCUAUAUGUAUUUUGCUUGUCCUACGUCCUGCAUGGGAUUGAUAGCAGAUUGGAAUUAAGUCGACCCCUUUCUAUGAAUUGCUCUUCUUUAUUAUCUUUGUGUUACCGUCAAACUCCCAGCGAUAUUGUACAUUAUAUAGAAGUAUAUAACAUAGAACAUUUGUGA
Molecule: RNA transcript, 4631 nt
Organism: Oryza sativa Japonica Group (Japanese rice)
Lineage: Eukaryota; Viridiplantae; Streptophyta; Magnoliopsida; Poales; Poaceae
Source: RefSeq, a predicted model, not a curated record